This 535-nucleotide ribosomal RNA is filed under the name Trichonephila inaurata (golden orb-web spider). Its description in RNAcentral is "bacterial SSU rRNA". It matches the Rfam family "Eukaryotic small subunit ribosomal RNA", at positions 537 to 1067 of the family's 1831-position model. The record is from RNAcentral. Lineage: Eukaryota; Metazoa; Arthropoda; Arachnida; Araneae; Nephilidae.
ACGAGGACCUACUGGAGGGCAAGACUAAUGCCAGCCGCUGCGGUAAUUUUAGCUCCAGUGGCGUAUACUAAAAUUGUUGCAGUUAAAAAGCUCGUAGUUGGAUGUCUGCUCUGGACGUAGGGGGCCGCUCGCGCGGUCCGCCAUGCGCACCCGGCAUUCUGCUCGCCACUCGGGGGUCGGUUUUCACCGGUCGGCCCUCGGUGGUCGGCGGUUAUCGCUUUGCAAAAAUUAGAGUGCUUCAAGCGGGCUCACCCAGGCUCGAAUAGUAAUGCACGGUACGAUGGAACAUGACUUCGGAUCUAGGUCCUCGGGGACAGACGGAGACCGAGGUGAUGAUUAAUAGGAGCAGACGGGGGCAUUCGUAUUCCGACGCUAGAGGUGAAAUUCUUGGACCGUCGGAAGACGACCCACUGCGAAAGCAUUUGCCAAGAAUGUUUCCCUUAACCAAGAACGAAAGUCAGAGGCUCAAAGAAGAUUAGAUACCUUUGUAGUUCUGACCCUAAACGAUGCCAGCCAGCGAUCCGGCUGCGUACGG